This 492-nucleotide ribosomal RNA is filed under the name uncultured bacterium. RNAcentral describes it as "partial 16S ribosomal RNA". It matches the Rfam family "Bacterial small subunit ribosomal RNA", at positions 29 to 507 of the family's 1533-position model. The record is from RNAcentral.
AAUGAACGCUGGCGGUAGGCCUAACACAUGCAAGUCGAACGGCAGCACAGUAAGAGCUUGCUCUUACGGGUGGCGAGUGGCGGACGGGUGAGGAAUACAUCGGAAUCUACUUUUUCGUGGGUGAUAACGUAGGGAAACUUACGCUAAUACCGCAUACGACCUACGGGUGAAAGCAGGGGAUCUUCGGACCUUGCGCGAUUGAAUGAGCCGAUGUCGGAUUAGCUAGUUGGCGGGGUAAAGGCCCACCAAGGCGACGAUCCGUAGCUGGUCUGAGAGGAUGAUCAGCCACACUGGAACUGAGACACGGUCCAGACUCCUACGGGAGGCAGCAGUGGGGAAUAUUGGACAAUGGGCGCAAGCCUGAUCCAGCCAUACCGCGUGGGUGAAGAAGGCCUUCGGGUUGUAAAGCCCUUUUGUUGGGAAAGAAAAGCAGCAGGUUAAUACCCCGCUGUUCUGACGGUACCCAAAGAAUAAGCACCGGCUAACUUCGUG